AAAAUUUUAAGUUAUAAUUAAACUAUAAGCCUUCAAAGCUUAACUAAUAAUCUUCAUUUAUAAAUUUUA
This 69-nucleotide transfer RNA is filed under the name Stenamma impar. RNAcentral's name for it is "tRNA-Trp". The record is from RNAcentral. Lineage: Eukaryota; Metazoa; Arthropoda; Insecta; Hymenoptera; Formicidae.